This 242-nucleotide ribosomal RNA is filed under the name uncultured bacterium. RNAcentral's name for it is "partial 16S ribosomal RNA". It matches the Rfam family "Bacterial small subunit ribosomal RNA", at positions 524 to 765 of the family's 1533-position model. The record is from RNAcentral.
UACGAAGGGGGGCUAGCGUUGCUCGGAAUCACUGGGCGUAAAGCGCACGUAGGCGGAUUGUUAAGUCAGGGGUGAAAUCCUGGAGCUCAACUCCAGAACUGCCUUUGAUACUGGCGAUCUCGAGUCCGGGAGAGGUGAGUGGAACUGCGAGUGUAGAGGUGAAAUUCGUAGAUAUUCGCAAGAACACCAGUGGCGAAGGCGGCUCACUGGCCCGGUACUGACGCUGAGGUGCGAAGCGUGGG